GGAGAGGUGCCUGAGAGGCCGAAAGGAACGGUUUGCUAAACCGUCGUCUGGGGCAACCUGGACCGAGGGUUCGAAUCCCUCCCUCUCCG
This 89-nucleotide transfer RNA is filed under the name Spirochaetia bacterium. RNAcentral describes it as "tRNA-Ser". It matches the Rfam family "tRNA". Rfam says of the family: Transfer RNA (tRNA) molecules are approximately 80 nucleotides in length. Their secondary structure includes four short double-helical elements and three loops (D, anti-codon, and T loops). The record is from RNAcentral. Lineage: Bacteria; Pseudomonadati; Spirochaetota; Spirochaetia.